This is a long non-coding RNA of Mya arenaria, 185 nucleotides long. RefSeq lists it as uncharacterized. The transcript has 3 exons. NCBI's taxonomy places the organism in Eukaryota, Metazoa, Mollusca, Bivalvia, Myida, Myidae. The record is from RefSeq and is a predicted model, not a curated record.
UGUUGCAUGAGUUUGUAGACGCUGUAAAUCGAAAUAUUGACAAUAUAAGAUUUCCAAGAACACAACAAGAAUUGGCAGAAGCAAAACUUGGCUUCUACAAAAGAUGCAAAAUUGCCAAUAUCGUAGGUGCAGUCGACGGAACACUCGUCCCUAUCAUUGCCCCGAAAGACAGUGGCGAAGCCUAC